AUUUGGUGCUAAUAUACAAUUUGACCUAAAAAUGUUGGGGAUAUGUUUUAGCAAUUUCCCGCCAUUACAGUCAUUCGUAUCAUUUUCGCAGCCGGACUAAAUCGGGCUUGUUUUGCUAUUACCCAUACAAAUAGUGAACUAUAGAAUGAGUUGUUUAUUUUAAAAAGCAUGUGAAAUGGAGUUUCGGAAGAGAUUUGAGAAGAGCAAAGGUUACUUUCGGAUCUGAUGUUGAUGUUUUGAUAGCUUUUCACCCACUUUCCUAGAAAUGUCGGAAGAUUACAUAGGCAAACAAAGCCUAUUAAUGGAGAGGCAAUGCAACAUCAACCUAAUGAUGAUACAAAAAAAUUUGGCCUGGAAGAAAGAGUUUACUAUACCUGCUGUAGCUGCUGGACACACUACAGUGGUGAAUGCAUUGCUUGUUACUAUGUGAACUACUGCAACGAAUGUGAUUCGAAGUGAUGAAAACCACACCAGCUGUGCUACUGAAUUUGCCUCAGUUUUGGCCUUUAGAAAAGCGUUAAGAAGUAAGAAGAGAAAAUUUUUGUAAAACAAUCUAGAAAAAGGCCAAAUAUUCCAAAUAUGAUGUGUGAGAGACGAGCCUGGAAAUGAUAACACCCUCUGUUUCAGCUAGUAAGCCAUCUCGACAUUAAAAAACAAAAGACACUACACAUUGGACUAAACAUUCAGCUUUUUAAUUUAUUUCGACACCACAAAAAGACAAGAAGAAAACAUCAUUCCUCUGCUACCUCUGGGGAUCAAAACACCUAACAACACACACCUCCAGAACACUGAAGAGUCCUAUUGUGUUUGAACAGACUACUUCAGGGAAUUUAAUACUGGAAAACACCAUCGACAGACCUUAGCUCAAACUUUUUCAAAAUUGUAAGUUUUGACUUUGCCCGUCGCCCGUCUUCACUUCGCCCAUCUUCACCUCGUCCGUCUUCACCUCGCCCGUCAUUCCGUCAUCGCACCGUGGUAGCUUCGUUUCGCAUCGUGGUCGUCCCGUUUUCGCUUCGCCCGUCGCCCCCGUCACCCCGCCUUC
Long non-coding RNA from Daphnia carinata, 1042 nucleotides. RefSeq lists it as uncharacterized. NCBI's taxonomy places the organism in Eukaryota, Metazoa, Arthropoda, Branchiopoda, Diplostraca, Daphniidae. The record is from RefSeq and is a predicted model, not a curated record. The transcript is spliced from 4 exons.